Molecule: ribosomal RNA, 253 nt
Filed under: uncultured bacterium
Lineage: Bacteria
Description: partial 16S ribosomal RNA
Rfam family: Bacterial small subunit ribosomal RNA
Source: RNAcentral
UACGGAGGGUGCGAGCGUUGUCCGGAAUCACUGGGCGUAAAGGGCGCGUAGGCGGCGCGGGCAGUCAACGGUGAAAGCUUGGGGCUCAACCCCGAGUCGGCCGUCGAUACUCCCGGGCUGGAGCACUGUAGAGGCAGGUGGAAUUCCGGGUGUAGCGGUGGAAUGCAUAGAGAUCCGGAAGAACACCGGUGGCGAAGGCGGCCUGCUGGGCAGUAGCUGACGCUGCGGCGCGACAGCGUGGGGAGCAAACAGG